This 7028-nucleotide long non-coding RNA is filed under the name Medicago truncatula (barrel medic). RNAcentral's name for it is "long non-coding RNA (MTRU_LNC004580)". Lineage: Eukaryota; Viridiplantae; Streptophyta; Magnoliopsida; Fabales; Fabaceae. The record is from RNAcentral.
CCUCUUCAUGGAAAUCUAUAAGCACUUCUUCAAAAAUAGAUGUUAGUGGAGAUGGCUAUAAACCACCAUUUGAAGUUAUUAGGAAUGCUGCUACACCAAGGAAUGAGAAUGAUAGUUUGGAAUUUUCUUGGAUUUCAGAUGAUCGAAAUUUGAAAUUCAAUGUCUACUUGUACUUUGCAGAAGUGGAGAAACUUAACAAAACUCAGUUGAGAGAAUUCGACGUAUCUUGGAAUGGUUCUCCUUUGAUUAAAUCAAUAAUACCAAGAUACUUGCAAGCAACCACUGUGUUUAAUUCGAAGUCGUUGGUCGCAAAUGAACAUCGAAUUUCAAUACAAAAAACUGAAGAUUCAACUCUUCCACCUAUACUUAAUGCAGUGGAGAUUUAUGUAGUAAGACAACUUGAUGCACUUCCAACAUCUGAAGAAGAUGGUAUGACAUGUUGUAACAUCUAAAAAGAUGUAUGAGACUAGAGUCCAAGUUAAGCUAAAUAAAUAUAAAUAAAACUUGAUUCAUUUUUAGAUCUUUAAUACACCAAUUACAUAUAUACAAUCAAAGUAGGGCAUAACUGUCAUUCAUAUGUAGGACCUAACCGUCAUUCAUAUGCAAUUACUUAUCUAUAACUUGCCAUGAUGCUGCGUUUGUUGUGAAUAAAUUAUCUCAACACAUGCAUGACCUAACUGUCAUUCAUAUGCAGACACUUGAACAUGUUCUGCGAUAUCUCAAACAUACAUUAGCACAUCUGACUCGCACAAAAAUAUUAGUCUAAUUGCCUUUUGCGAGGCAGACCGGGGAGGUGACACGAAUGAUAGAAAGUUUAUAGGAGUUUAUAGAAAGUUUAUCAUGGUCAUGCAACAAACAAUUUACAGUUGCACGCUAUCAACUGAGGGUGAGUAUCGUGCCAUUGGCUCCACCACUGCAAAAAUUCUUUGGUUGAAACAACUCUUACUAGAACUUGGCAUUCACACAUCUCAACCGCCAAUCAUUUUUUUUAUUAUAUUGGUGUAAAUUGUUUGUGAUCAAAUCCUAUUUUCCAUAUACGUAUGAGCAACCUAGCUAUCGACUACCAUUUUGUCUAUAAUCUUGUUGCUAAAAAGGAAUUUCAAGUCUCCCUUGUACCAUUGAGUCACCAUCUUGUAGAUUUCCUUAUCAAGCCACUCUCAUGAUCCAGUCGUCAAUUCCUAACCAACAAGAUUGGGUCGCCGACCCCUCCUCCAUUUUGCAGGGGGUAGGGGUGUUUGCGGUGCAGUUUAAUUCAGAUUUGAGGAUAAAAAUCAUCAUAACUACAAGAUGAAAAAACACGUGGUUUGGUUUGGUUCGAUUGGUUUUUAAAAGAAAACCAAUGCGGGUUGAAUUGAUUCGGAUGAUGCGGUUUUUUGCAAGAAAAAUAAUAAUAUUAAUGUUGAUGUCUCAAUACACAUGCACUGUUCCAAUAAACAUUCAACAAAAAAGAAAAAAUCCAAAUUGCGUUUGUUAGACUUAUAACUCUAUUUGAUGGAGGAUAUAAGCUAAGAACAUUGGAUGUUUUAAUAUGAUCUAGUUCUAUGAGAUAUGUUAUGCCAUGUAGUAUAUAUUUUUAUUUUUAUUUUUUUUAUUAUUAGAUCAAUAUUAAAUCACACUAUUGAAUCAAAUGAGAUCAUAAGAUGAAAUUUAUUGAUUUAAAAUAGUGCAAAAUAAACUCAUGUAUGAUAUUACGUGUGUACCAUAAUUUUUUUUUUUUUUUUAAGAUAGUGUACCAUAUACUUAAACUUUUAAUAUGAAUCUAAAAAAAGUUCCAUCUUUGCCCAUUUUCCUCAUGUUCAUGUACAUAUUAAAAGUAACCAAAAGAUGAGAUAAAAGUAGUUGGGCAUAGGUUAAAAGAUACUCCUUCCGUUUUAAAAUGAGUGUCGUUUUAGGUGUUGACACAUAAAUUAAGAAAUGAAAUGAAAUAAUCAUUAGAUAUAACAUUUUUAUUAAAUUGCCCUUUAUUUUAUAAGAAAAAGACAAACAUAAAGUUGCAUUGGAAAUUGUGUAAGAGAAAAGAAAAGUUGGAGUAUAUAUUGAAGGUAAAGUUGGAAGAAAGAAUGAAAGUUGUAUUGGAAAUGUAAAAUGACAUUCAUUUUGAAACAAUUUUUUUUGAUUAAAGUGACAUUCAUUUUAAAACGGAGGAGUAAUAAAUAUUUGAUUAAAAAUAGGUGGUCAUAAGUAAUUUGACGAUGGGUCUGUUUGGUAAUACACCUCAACGAGCUUAUAGCUUAUAGCUUAUAAGCUCGUCUGACAAAAAAAACUCUGUUUGGUAAUACUUUUUCACCAUGAGCUUAUAGCUUAUUUCACGAGCUUAUAAGCUAUUUUUCAGAAGCUAUUCCAAGUAACGUUUGAGCUUAUAGCUUACAGCUUCUCAAAAUUUCUUCCAUUUUUACCCUUAAUAUUUUAUCUAAAAUCCAUUUUUAUCCUUUAUAAUUUAUUAUAAUUUAACUAAUAGAUAUAAUUACCUUAUAAAUAUCCAUUGUCUUCCUUUGUUGUAAUAAUAGAUAUAAUUAUGUUUUUAUACAAUUGCAGUAUACCUACAUCAUAAUAUAUAUAUAUUUUUUCAUAAAUAAAAAUGAUCAAUGCCUUCCGUUUAAAUAAAAAAAAUCAUGAAUUAUGUUAUAAUUUUUGAUAAAAAGGGCAAAAAAAAAAAUAGUGACGUUUAAAUUUUUUAGUUAGUCUUACAUUAUUUUUAUUACUUAAAUUCACUAAACUUGUUAUAUUUUAUUUCCAUACUUUUUUUUUAUAUCCAAAUCUUUUACUCUUUAUAUUUUGUUUUCUCAGUAGAUACUCUUUAUAUUUUUCUAAAUAUAAUGCAUAAAAAAUAUAUUAAAUUAAUAAAUUAUAAAUACUUAAAUAUUAAUGAAUAUAAAUUUUAAUAUGAAAUAAGAAUGUCCUUUUAUAUCAUUUUAUAUUUAUAAGUCAGUUGAACCGCUAAUAUUACCAAACACUUCAACUAGCUUAUCAGCUAUAAGUCAUCAGCUAUAAGCUAUCAGUCAUCAGCUAUCAGCUAUAAUCUAUCAGCUAGCUUAUAAGUUAUCCUCUAUUUUUACCAAACAGAGCUGAUAUGGAUGAGAAUGUCGGAAUGUACAUAAAAGCAAUUUUGAUAAAUAGUUGUUGAAUAAUAUAUCUUUUCUUAGUAAAGUUGUUGAAAUAGUACAUAUAUUAAAUGGUAAAUCCCGACUUUUUAAUGGAUGCAUCCGUUUAAAGCUUAGAAAAUUGAUGUCAUGUUAAAAAAAUUGUGUGUUAUUUACACAACCAAAAUUAGACUACCAAUGCAACAUUCUAUAAAAUUGUGAGGUGCAUAGAAAAUUGAAAUCUAGAUAGGGCAAAAAAAUAUUUAAAAAUAGUAAAACAAGUUGGUGGUUAUACAGAUCGUUUUUUUUCACAAAUCAUUCCUCAUGUGGAAAUACAUGAAUAACCCCUAAAAAAAGUCAUACAUAAAUGAAUAAUGGUAAGUCAUAAUGUGAGACAAUUCAUGACGAAACUUUUACUUUCUACUCAAAAGAAAAUAUAAUAUUCUAAUGGUUUAGACUCUAUCCAUUUGUGAUUAAAUAAUAGCUUUAGGUAAAUUUUUUGUUAAAUUCUAAACCCACUUAAUUAUAAACAAAUGGAUUCUACGUAAUAUAAGGUCCCAUUAAUCCAAUUGUUUUACGUAAUACUUAAUUAACAUAAUUACGUGACAUGGUGUGCAAUGCACGACAUAGACUAGAGCCACUCACCUAAUAUUUUAUCAUUUUAUUCACGGACAAAUAAUUGAAGCCUUUUUCGUGUUUGGCUUCUUAUACUUUGUCUUCACAUUUAAUUUAUGGAAAUCAAACCCUUGUUUCAAACUUUGAAAUUAUCACCUUUGUGCACCACAUGUUUCUUAUUUUUAAUUUUCUGAGUUGGUGAGUAACCAAUGAUAUUAAUUAUUUGGAGACUUCUACGAUACAUUCCGUACAAUUGUUUUCUUCAUUAACUAUUUUUAAUAAUAAAAAAACAUUUCAUUAAAAUAUAUUAUUUCUAUAUUUUUACCUAAGAAAUAACAUUCAUUAUAUAUUCUCCUAAAAAAAGAAAAAUCUUCAUUAUUAUAUUAGCAAUAGCAAACUCUGUUAUUUUCUCCCAAAAAAAAAACUUUAUUAUUUUAAAUGUUGUUUCAACAAGACUUUUAAUAAAUAUUUUAAAAAAAAUAAGACUAUUAAUAAAUGAUAUUUAGUUAUUACAAUUUUUUAAAUGAUUAAAAUAUAACAAUAUUAAAUUUUUGAAAUUUAUUUUAUCAACCAUUGCGAUCUUACCCGACUCUAAAAUAUCUGUUCAAACCUAAAAGAUAUUCAUAGUUUUUACUCCAUUCGUCCCAUAAUAACUGAGCCAUUUGUAAAAAAUAUUGUCCUAAGAAUAGUCGUCCAUUUCACUUUUCAAUACAACAUUAAUUACUUUUUUCAAUUAUAACUUUAAUUAAUACUACUUUCAUCACUCUUAAUUUAAUAUAUUCUAAUUUACAUUUGAUGAAUAUUAUUUGAACAUCCAAUUUUUAAGACAACUUAUUGGACAAUCAAAAUGUAUAAAGAAAUGUAAGGAUCGUCACAAAAACCAAAGCAAUGGAGAUAUAAAGUAUAAUACAAUGUGAGUAUGAGAGAGAAAAUUGUCACAAAAGUUGUCAUAAAAUAGUUGCUCAAAUAUCAUUUCUCUUUAUAUUUAUGAUAAAGAAGAAUGCACCAAUACUAGACAAGGACAAUCAAAACUAUUUUUUUCUCUCUUUAAUUUACACAUGUUUCUUAAUCUGUGUGAAAUGGUCAACUAACUCGGUUAAACUGAGCCGAAGGGAGCAUUACAUAAUAAGUCAUUUGACUAUUCUUUCAAAAAAAAAAAAAAAAAAAAAAACUCAUUUGACUAUUGAUGAAAAGACCAACCAUACCAAACAUGUUGAUUGUGUACAUGCACUUAGAAAUCCUUCAAUUAUUAAAUGUAAAAACAUUGCAAAUUGCUUUCAUAGUAUUAUUUUUCUAUGCGAUAAUUUGAUGUGUUAGGUAGGUGGUUUUGUCCAAGUCAUCAAAACCGUAUAUUUGACUAACUAUUAUGCUUUAAGACCCUUGUUUUCAUGAAUUACUAGGUUGUUUCUUCUAGCAAACAAAAAUGUUUCCAGCAUGCAUAUCAAGUUUGUAACAUCAUUAUAGAAUUUCACAAGGCUCCUCUUAUUCUUGGUUCAGCGAUGGCAAAUUCAAUUGGAUUCUUUCUGUUUUUGGUUGUUUGCUUUGGUGUUGCAGUUUUAGUUCACGCACAACAACAAACAGGUAAGCAUUUUCCAUCAGCUUCUACAAGAGAAUCAUUAUUCAUUCUGUAGAAUGUUUUAGAAUGUUUUAUGAUGUUGUAGAAAUGUUUUCUGUAAGUUCAUAUUUGAUUUGACGGUGAGUUAGACAAAAUCACGGAGUAACUCUGAUUUUUGCAAAAGUCACACUUUGGUGCCUCAACAAAAUCUCGCUGAUUGAAGACAAGUGUAGCACCGACACCUAGGAUGUAGCACUGACACCUCAGAUUGAAGACAAGUGUGUUGUUGAAUAUAUGUUUGGUUUCCGACACCAUGUCGAAUGUCAAUAUCCAUAAAUGACACAUGUGGUUACAUUCAAUCACUUUCACUUUCUCAAAUUAUUACCAACAUCGACUUAUCAGAGUAUCAUGCCUGAUGUCUAUGCAUGUGUCAGUGCUUCAUAGGCUACUUACGCGUUACAAGAUGUUUUUAUGGAUAUCCAAACAAUAGUACAUAUACUGUUUUCAUGAGUUAAGGCUAAAUUAACUCUUCACUUUGAUGUAAACCAACAAUAGGUUUGUAGGAUUGGCUAAUCUAAAAAACUUUUCUAGGGAAUGCUUAUCCAUAAGUUAUUUUGUGAAAUUUAUUGAAAAAUAUGAAAACAGCUUCGAAGUAGCACCGAUAUUUCAGAUUAAAAGUGUGCCUGGUGUCCAACACGUGUCUGACAACAACCGAUACCAAUAUAACACCAACAAAUGUGGUUACAUUCAAUCAUUUUCAUUUUUCAAAUUAUUAAUGGUGUGAUUAACUUAUUAGUGUCAUGUUUGAUGUCUGUGUCAGUGCUACAUAGGCUACUUACAUGUGGUCACAUUCAAUCAUUUUCAUUUCUCAAUCUAGUUGGUCUUUCUAUUCAGGCUUCAUAAGCAUUGAUUGUGGUGGUCCAGCAAAUUUUGAGUACACAGAUGAUGUAACUGAAAUAAAAUACGGCACAGAUGGAGCUUACAUACAAACAGGACUUAACAGAAACAUUUCUGCUAACUAUGCAUACCCAAAAAAUCCUAAUCUACCAUAUACAUUCUCAGAUCUCAGAAGUUUUCCUCAAGGAAACCGAAACUGUUACCGAUUAAUUGCCGGAAGAAAUGGCAGUUUACAUUUAAUAAGAGCUUCUUUCUUGUAUGGAAACUAUGACGGCGAAAACAAACUGCCUGAAUUUGAUCUCUAUGUUGGUGUAAAUUUAUGGUCAACAGUUAAAUUUAAGAAUGCUUCAGAAGGAGUUACAUUGGAAAUAAUCAGCAUGGCAACAUCAGAAGAAACAAAUGUUUGCCUUGUGAAUAAAGGAAAAGGAAUUCCUUUUAUCUCCGCGUUGGAACUUAGACCAGUUGAUAGUUCUAUUUAUAAAACUGAGUUCGGUGAUUCUGCUUCAUUGUUACUUUUCAAAAGAUGGGACAUUGGUUCAUUUAAUGGAAGUGGUAGAUAUCAAGACGAUGUUUACGAUAGAAUUUGGUUUCCUUUGAAUUCCUCUUCAUGGAAAUCUAUAAACACUUCUUCAAAAAUUGAUGUUAGUGGAGAUGGCUAUAAAGCACCGUUUGAAGUUAUUAGCAAUGCUGCUACACCAAGGAAUGAGAAUGUUAGUUUGGAUUUUUCUUGGAUUUCAGAUGAUCCAAAUUUGAAAUUCAAUGUCUACUUGUACUUUGCUGAAUUUGAGAAACUUAACAAAACUCAGUUGAGAAAAUUCAAUGUAUCUUGGAAUGGUUCUCCUUUGAUUAACUCAACAAUACCAAAAUACUUGCAAUCAACC